RNAcentral lists this ribosomal RNA (758 nucleotides) under Alteromonas profundi. Its description in RNAcentral is "bacterial SSU rRNA". It matches the Rfam family "Bacterial small subunit ribosomal RNA", at positions 98 to 858 of the family's 1533-position model. Lineage: Bacteria; Pseudomonadati; Pseudomonadota; Gammaproteobacteria; Alteromonadales; Alteromonadaceae. The record is from RNAcentral.
GCGGACGGGUGAGUAAUGCUUGGGAACUUGCCUUUGCGAGGGGGAUAACAGUUGGAAACGACUGCUAAUACCGCAUAACGUCUACGGACCAAACGGGGCUUCGGCUCCGGCGCAAAGAGAGGCCCAAGUGAGAUUAGCUAGUUGGUGGGGUAAAGGCUCACCAAGGCAACGAUCUCUAGCUGUUCUGAGAGGAAGAUCAGCCACACUGGAACUGAGACACGGUCCAGACUCCUACGGGAGGCAGCAGUGGGGAAUAUUGCACAAUGGGGGGAACCCUGAUGCAGCCAUGCCGCGUGUGUGAAGAAGGCCUUCGGGUUGUAAAGCACUUUCAGUUGUGAGGAAAAGUUAGUAGUUAAUACCUGCUAGCCAUGACGUUAGCAACAGAAGAAGCACCGGCUAACUCCGUGCCAGCAGCCGCGGUAAUACGGAGGGUGCGAGCGUUAAUCGGAAUUACUGGGCGUAAAGCGCACGCAGGCGGUUUGUUAAGCUAGAUGUGAAAGCCCCGGGCUCAACCUGGGACGGUCAUUUAGAACUGGCAGACUAGAGUCUUGGAGAGGGGAGUGGAAUUCCAGGUGUAGCGGUGAAAUGCGUAGAGAUCUGGAGGAACAUCAGUGGCGAAGGCGACUCCCUGGCCAAAGACUGACGCUCAUGUGCGAAAGUGUGGGUAGCGAACAGGAUUAGAUACCCUGGUAGUCCACACCGUAAACGCUGUCUACUAGCUGUUUGUGGCUUUAAGCCGUGAGUAGCGAAGCUAACGC